UAUAAAACCUAUGUGAAUUGUCAUAACAAUCAUACAUACCUACCACAACUUUACUCUUUUCUCUCUUCUCUUUCUUCUAGAAUCGUCAUCUUCUCACCGGAUUUUCAACAUUGAAUCAAGAUCAAAGAUCCGCCUAUAUAUCUUGAAGAUCAGACCAUAAAUCUUGAAGGUAUGUUGUUUUACUCGGUUGUUUAUGUAGUAUACAUCUUUAAUCUAAGAGAUUGAACAUGUUUAUUUUUUUCUUAAACCAAAAUCUACAUCAGAUGUUUUUUGUUGAUUUUUGUUAUGUAUAAAAUCAAGUUUCCGGGUUUUUCUUAA
Helianthus annuus (common sunflower) is the source of this 318-nucleotide long non-coding RNA. RefSeq lists it as uncharacterized. The record is from RefSeq and is a predicted model, not a curated record. NCBI's taxonomy places the organism in Eukaryota, Viridiplantae, Streptophyta, Magnoliopsida, Asterales, Asteraceae. The transcript is spliced from 3 exons.